Molecule: ribosomal RNA, 625 nt
Filed under: uncultured soil bacterium
Lineage: Bacteria
Description: bacterial SSU rRNA
Rfam family: Bacterial small subunit ribosomal RNA
Source: RNAcentral
GCUGGCGGCAUGCCUUACACAUGCAAGUCGAACGGCAGCGCGGGGGCAACCCUGGCGGCGAGUGGCGAACGGGUGAGUAAUAUAUCGGAACGUGCCCACAAGUGGGGGAUAACCAGUCGAAAGACUGGCUAAUACCGCAUACGCUCUGUGGAGGAAAGUGGGGGCUUCGCAAGAACCUCAUGCUGGUGGAGCGGCCGAUAUCUGAUUAGCUAGUUGGUGGGGUAAAAGCCUACCAAGGCGACGAUCAGUAGCUGGUCUGAGAGGACGACCAGCCACACUGGGACUGAGACACGGCCCAGACUCCUACGGGAGGCAGCAGUGGGGAAUUUUGGACAAUGGGGGCAACCCUGAUCCAGCAAUGCCGCGUGUGUGAAGAAGGCCUUCGGGUUGUAAAGCACUUUUGUCCGGAAAGAAAUCUCAUCUGCUAAUACCGGGUGAGGAUGACGGUACCGGAAGAAUCAGCACCGGCUAACUACGUGCCAGCAGCCGCGGUAAUACGUAGGGUGCAAGCGUUAAUCGGAAUUACUGGGCGUAAAGCGUGCGCAGGCGGUUGUGCAAGACAGAGGUGAAAUCCCCGGGCUUAACCUGGGAAUGGCCUUUGUGACUGCACGGCUAGAGUGUGUCA